CCGGAAAAGAACACCCUCCUGCGGU
Molecule: microRNA, 25 nt
Filed under: Ananas comosus (pineapple)
Lineage: Eukaryota; Viridiplantae; Streptophyta; Magnoliopsida; Poales; Bromeliaceae
Description: microRNA s0800_c109a
Source: RNAcentral